CAUCUAUCCUAUAAAUUUACUAACAAUUUUCUUUGUAAUUAAUGAGAGACUCAUCAGCGGUGGAGCCAACAUUGUCACUGCAAGUUCGGAGAACACAGUAGCUUUGGUUCAAUCUCUAUAUUUAUCUUGAAAAAUUCAUUAAUUAGUUAGAAAUCAGCAACUUAAAAACACUUAGAAUACUGAAUAGCCUAUGCUUGAAAUUCUAGCUCCGUCUCUAAACUUAAUUGACUCAUCGCCCCAAUAUGAAGAUCGAGGACUUUGUUGAUCAUGAUAGGCGCCAGGCCUGAACCCCUCUGGCCAAGUUGGUCAGGGGUGGUAUAAUUUUUUUUUUUUGGCCCAAUAAUUGGUCAUGACUCUCACCUCUCCUAGUCCAAGCCACACCCCUGGCAUGCCGUCCCAAUUGGUCAUGGCUGGCAUCCUUUACGAGUCCAGACCACCAUUCUGAGCACUCUACCAGAGUAGUCGUUGGAGUUGUUUCCUUAAGCAUUGAUCAACUUGCUCUGAUAUCAAUUAUUAUACACUGAACCAGAAAAUCUAACCAAAAGAGUGGCUUAUUAUGUGGGAGAGCCCACUCAACCUAUAAACUCAUUACCAAUUCGUUUGGCAACAAUAACAUACUUAUUUGGUUCACAACAUAUCAUGCAUAAUUAUGACUAAAAAAUCUCAAUUAUAAAAUGAAAGUCUUUCUUGCAUUAACGGUAAAAUAAUUAACGUGUAUUUUCUUCUAUUACUCGACCAGGUUUAAUCCUGAGAAUUUAGGGGUGUUCAUCGGACGGAUUCGGCGGCUUUUUAAUCUUAACGGUUAUCGGCUUUUAAAUGUAUUCAUCCGUUAGCCACCCGAUAAGAUAUCGGGUGGAUUGGUAUCGGGUUAGUUCUUAUCGGGCGGUUACCGGACGGUUUAUCGGUUUAAUACCUAUGUGGGUUAUCGAAAAGCGUAUACCGAAUUACAAUACUUAGUAAGCAGAAGACAAUUGCAAAUUGUACACAUUUUAUGGGACUUACUUUUUUAAAAUUUGAAACUAAGACACAAAUUCAUUUAAAAGAGAAACAUUUUCCGAAGUAGAGAACUAAAAUCUACUUGGUUAGCAUUUGAGACAUAUCAUCAAACACUUACUCCCGUGGUCUAGUUAAACUUGAAUUUAGUAUUCACAAUUAAGCAAGAUAGCUUGUUAGAUACUUCAGACAAAUUAGUUUACGAAACUUUUGAUUGAAAUUACUUCCUCUGUCUUAUUUUGUUUUAUGUAAAUCUUUACACUACUCAAAGUUGCAUCGCCUUUAUAGUAUGUGAAGCAGAACAGCUAUAUUCUGUUCACAUACUUCAUAAUUUUAUCAUUCAAGGGCACACAACUUUUGAAAAUGAUUUUGAAUCCAUAUAUUUUAUCAACAACACUUAUAGUUUCUCUAGCUGAAAAAGAUUUUGAAUCCAUAUAUUUUAUCUACAACACUUAUAUUAUAACAAAUAUAGUAAACAAUAAUAAGUUGAGAUAUUAUCAGGUGAAAAAAUUAUUUCCAGAGAGUAAAUUACUCCAUUUUAACUAUAACUCUGCAACAUUUUGAUACCUAGUUUACAAGAGCUUUGAGAUUUUAUCAAGAGCUUUGAGAUUUUAUCUCAUUUUUUUGUAUUGUACACACAAGAAGACGACGAGUACCUGGAGAGACGAAAUGGCGAUAGGGUGACCGGCGACUGGUGGAAGUAGACGAACACGAGCGAGUGGACGCGGAAACUGGAGAGGAUUGGUGGCUGGUGGCUGCUGCUUUAACAGUGUUAGGGUUUCUCAGUUUCUCUAGACUAGAAUGAGGAAUUAGAUAUUUAGAUUUAGGAAAUAGAAAUUAUAAAAUUAGGGGUAAUGGGUAUAGAGACAAAAGUCACUACUCACUGUCUCACUCAGUCAGACUCAGAACAAACGGUGGGGGUGGUUGUUUUUGUAAUUUAUUUUUGUUAUACACUUAUACUUAUUCAUUUUAAGGUUUUUAGUUUUUAUAUUUAAUAUAUAUAAUUAUGAAAGUAAAAAUAAAUUAUAUAUAUAUAUAUAUAUAUAUAUUUAUAUUUAACGGGUUAACGGAUUAUCCGUUAAGAAAAUUGAAUAAUCCGCCCCCAAAUCCCCCCCAAACCGAUAAGCCUUUAAUAAAAAAAAAUUCAAUCCAUUCUCCGUCCGUUAAGCCGUUACCAUUAAGCCAUUAGAGAUGUGUUCUUAUUUUCACCGUCUUAAUACAUAGUCAAUUAUUUACAAAAAAGUAAGUUUGUGGAGAAUAAUUUUCUAUAUACAACUUAACGACUUUAUUAAAAUAAUCCUUUUCAAGAAAUAAGCAAGACUAUUGGGACUUUAAUCAAUGAGAAAUAAAAAGGUUUAGCUUGGCAACAACAUAGAAACAAGCAUAGCUACAUGGGUUCAAAAUUUAAACAUACUUCAUGCAAGCAACUGAGAACCAAACGGAAUUAUAUCCAACAUUCAGGAUGAAGUAAAAAUAAAUUACAAUAGACCAAUGAAGCUACUAAAUUUCCCGAUGUUUUCAUUCGAACUUAAUUUUAGGAGUUUACAUGGAUCAAAAGUUACUUGGACAACAGAAAACACAGCAAGUUCAGCUCUUUUCAAAAUGAAGAAACAGACAAUAAAAUAGUUAAGCGGGCAACAGCACAGCAAAAGUAGCAACAACCAGUAGAUUUCAUAUUUUAAACCCAAGAAUAUGAACCAAAAACACCCAGCAAAGAAGUUGCAACCAACAACUAUGUAACUCCAGAAGAAGCUUUCAAGACCCCUCUAUUUUUCUUAAAAGUUUUGCACUUAAGAUUCAACUCACAAAAGCUAACAAAUUUCAGCUUCAUAAAGUAUUCAGCUGCUGAUUUUUGUUCAAAGAUAUGUGCGUUCAAGCAACUCUAAGGAAGUUAUCUUAGUGUAUCCUUAAAAUAUGAAAGGAGCAACCCUUAAGUAAGCAAAGAAAGUCACUUUUGGAGAGCUUUUGGUUCUGCUCAAGGGACUCACUUUUGUGUGCUAAAAGUCUGAUAAAAAAGGAAAAAGGCAGUCUUUCAACAGCGGCAGCAGAAGCAUGGGAUAAAAGGAAGUAUUUCAGCUACUCUAGCACAAAAAGUAAGUUACUAAUGUACCCUUAAUACAUGAUUAUUCAUCUACUCUUACCAACCAUGUGAUUCAAACCAAACUAAGAUAGAAAGAACGCAUAACUAAACUCAACGACUAACUAAUACUCAACUAAGAGAAAUUCAUAACCUAGUGACCAAAAUUAUCAAAAUAUGCAUUGAUCAGUGAAGACAUUAAUGAAACUCACGACCUUAAACAAAACAAAAACCAGAAACACAUCACAUAAAAUCGAGACUGAAACGACUAAUGCAAAGCAAAAACAUAUCAACAGUGAGGUAAACUAGAAUAAUCAAUUAAGUUAAAACAAAAAACGAAAAUCAGAAACUAGAUUGAGAGCUAAUCAAAACGAUCGCUAGAACCAUUUACACUACAAAGACAUUACGAUAAAAUGCUAAAGAAAUAUAAAAUUAAAAACAUGGAGGAAGCAUUAUGGUUUGAGUUUUACCGAAUUUGAGUGUUUGAACAAUGGUGGCCUAGCGACGAUUAGGCAGCGAGACAAUAGCGGGAUAGUGGUGCGGCUCGAGCAAGCUUUUAUUGUUGAUUUUCAUCGAAACCAUGACCCCGGAGAAUUGGAGGCUAGUUUCGAUAAAAAGCGACAACAAAACCUCGCUUUAGACCAGUGUGAAUAGAAAAAUUGGAGGUUGCGGAGUGAUAGUGAGGCGACGGGUUGGCGGAGAGGCGGCAGCGGAGGUGGCUUUCAGGAGUGGUGAGGUUUUUUUGGGGUGAGAUUAUAGGGGAAGUGUAGAUCUCUUUGAUAUGUACAAGUUUAUGUAGGUUUUAGGGGGGUAAACCAUUGAAACUUCAACUAAAUUUCAAAGAAAAAGAGGCUAGGGUUUCGGAUUAUAGGGUUUCGGAUUUUAUGAGGAUUUGCUGGGAUUUGGUUCAUGGAUUUGAAAAGAUGGGAGUGAGAGGGAGAUCUAGUGAGAUUUUAGGGUGGAUUGGAGUACGCUCGUCCGGCGGUGACGAUUUUCGAUCAGCGGAGAUGGGUGGUGGCGCAGAGAAACGAGAGGGAGUGAAGAGAGAGGAAAAAGAAAAGAAUAAUGGGAAAAAAU
Molecule: long non-coding RNA, 4147 nt
Filed under: Nicotiana benthamiana
Lineage: Eukaryota; Viridiplantae; Streptophyta; Magnoliopsida; Solanales; Solanaceae
Description: long non-coding RNA (NBEN_LNC011879)
Source: RNAcentral